UUUACGGAGAGUUUGAUCCUGGCUCAGGACGAACGCUGGCGGCGUGCUUAACACAUGCAAGUCGAACGAUGAUGCCCAGCUUGCUGGGUGGAUUAGUGGCGAACGGGUGAGUAACACGUGAGUAACCUGCCCCUGACUCUGGGAUAAGCGUUGGAAACGACGUCUAAUACUGGAUAUGAUCACUGGCCGCAUGGUCUGGUGGUGGAAAGAUUUUUUGGUUGGGGAUGGACUCGCGGCCUAUCAGCUUGUUGGUGAGGUAAUGGCUCACCAAGGCGACGACGGGUAGCCGGCCUGAGAGGGUGACCGGCCACACUGGGACUGAGACACGGCCCAGACUCCUACGGGAGGCAGCAGUGGGGAAUAUUGCACAAUGGGCGAAAGCCUGAUGCAGCAACGCCGCGUGAGGGAUGACGGCCUUCGGGUUGUAAACCUCUUUUAGUAGGGAAGAAGCGAGAGUGACGGUACCUGCAGAAAAAGCACCGGCUAACUACGUGCCAGCAGCCGCGGUAAUACGUAGGGUGCAAGCGUUGUCCGGAAUUAUUGGGCGUAAAGAGCUCGUAGGCGGUUUGUCGCGUCUGCUGUGAAAUCCCGAGGCUCAACCUCGGGCUUGCAGUGGGUACGGGCAGACUAGAGUGCGGUAGGGGAGAUUGGAAUUCCUGGUGUAGCGGUGGAAUGCGCAGAUAUCAGGAGGAACACCGAUGGCGAAGGCAGAUCUCUGGGCCGUAACUGACGCUGAGGAGCGAAAGCGUGGGGAGCGAACAGGAUUAGAUACCCUGGUAGUCCACGCCGUAAACGUUGGGCGCUAGAUGUAGGGACCUUUCCACGGUUUCUGUGUCGUAGCUAACGCAUUAAGCGCCCCGCCUGGGGAGUACGGCCGCAAGGCUAAAACUCAAAGGAAUUGACGGGGGCCCGCACAAGCGGCGGAGCAUGCGGAUUAAUUCGAUGCAACGCGAAGAACCUUACCAAGGCUUGACAUACACCGGAAACGGCCAGAGAUGGUCGCCCCCUUGUGGUCGGUGUACAGGUGGUGCAUGGUUGUCGUCAGCUCGUGUCGUGAGAUGUUGGGUUAAGUCCCGCAACGAGCGCAACCCUCGUUCUAUGUUGCCAGCGCGUUAUGGCGGGGACUCAUAGGAGACUGCCGGGGUCAACUCGGAGGAAGGUGGGGAUGACGUCAAAUCAUCAUGCCCCUUAUGUCUUGGGCUUCACGCAUGCUACAAUGGCCGGUACAAAGGGCUGCGAUACCGUAAGGUGGAGCGAAUCCCAAAAAGCCGGUCUCAGUUCGGAUUGAGGUCUGCAACUCGACCUCAUGAAGUCGGAGUCGCUAGUAAUCGCAGAUCAGCAACGCUGCGGUGAAUACGUUCCCGGGCCUUGUACACACCGCCCGUCAAGUCAUGAAAGUCGGUAACACCCGAAGCCGGUGGCCUAACCCUUGUGGAAGGAGCCGUCGAAGGUGGGAUCGGUGAUUAGGACUAAGUCGUAACAAGGUAGCCGUACCGGAAGGUGCGGCUGGAUCACCUCCUUU
RNAcentral lists this ribosomal RNA (1522 nucleotides) under Curtobacterium pusillum. RNAcentral's name for it is "bacterial SSU rRNA". It matches the Rfam family "Bacterial small subunit ribosomal RNA". The record is from RNAcentral. Lineage: Bacteria; Bacillati; Actinomycetota; Actinomycetes; Micrococcales; Microbacteriaceae.